CACCUCUGACCUACAGAGGCUAAUUUUAAUGCAUUUAAAUGUUAAGCCACCAUCCCAAAGUGGACAUGGGCUGUAUGUAACAAGUAUGUUUGCU
Molecule: long non-coding RNA, 94 nt
Organism: Sapajus apella (tufted capuchin)
Lineage: Eukaryota; Metazoa; Chordata; Mammalia; Primates; Cebidae
Exons: 3
Source: RefSeq, a predicted model, not a curated record